AGUGCGAGCUCAGAGUUGCUGGGCAACCCUUGCUGACACAUCAGGUGAAGUGAAAAAGGGAACCGACUAGAAGCUUGAGCCGCGCUCAAAGAGCCCACUGUGCCGGGGCAUUGGCGAGGAGUGUGUUCACAGACUGGACGGGAUGACGGGAGUGUUUGUGCAAGGACAGUGAAGAGAGGGACUGAGAGAACACACUGACUGUUCUCAAGUGCAAUAUGCUACGUGAGAGUGUGUGAGGGAGAUUAUUUUUGGUUUGUUUUGAAGGAGGAGAUCGAACAGAUGGUGUGCGAGUGUGUAUUUGCAGGAAGUGCCCAGACUGCUGAUUGAACUACACCCGCCCCCAUACUACUGUACAUCUCAAUCUUUGCUGCUCGACAAGAGGAAGGUGAUGGGAAAUGGAGGAGAGUCGACCAAGAGUGAAGUCCCGACAAACCAAUAAAAAAAAAAAAAGGACGCAACAAGAAUGACAUACAAAGAAAUGGCAAAUCAAUAACGGGAGCUGAGGGGAGAGUGGAGGAGAAUCGUCCAUGUGGAGAGUGAGUCGAGGAGAAUUCCAUUACUCUAAAUGAGGAGUGGCGUUAGCAGAGGAAGCCUGACAUUUACCGAUGUCACUGUGACCAAGUGGGGCGAUGAAAGACGCAUCAAAACGGCAACAUGCUACAUUUUAUAAAGCAUAUGAUCAUAAUCUGGUGAAGCACUCUGAGGCCUGAGAUGAAGAAGAUGCAGCUAAUCUCAAUUAUCGUCCUCAGAACAAAUUGUUCAAUAUUGGCAAAGAGAUUAUAGUGAAACUAAUCAACUCGCACCAGACUGGCUUCACAUCAGGUUCCCAGGAGGGAAAACAACAUUAGAGGAGCUCUAAAAAGGUUCAGUAUUUGUCAAAAUACUGACAAAUUUAGAAGCUUUUCUGUCACGAUUUAGAGAAAUAAAUAAAACAGGUGGAAGGAGGAGGGGUGAGUGUGUUGCGGACUGCGUUGUUGACACUUACAUUGCUGGUUUGAAGGUGCAAUUUCUUCAUUCUCUGCAUCUCUGGCGUGUCUGCGACCACGCUGAAACCUUUCCCUUUAUUCUUCUCAAAAUCCUCCCUGUAGCGAACCUGCAGAACAAACACGAGUCGGGUUAGAAACAAAACAAGGGGUUAGAAAUAUG
This is a long non-coding RNA of Cottoperca gobio, 1146 nucleotides long. RefSeq lists it as uncharacterized. NCBI's taxonomy places the organism in Eukaryota, Metazoa, Chordata, Actinopteri, Perciformes, Bovichtidae. The record is from RefSeq and is a predicted model, not a curated record. The transcript is spliced from 3 exons.